AAGACCGUACUUUUACAGGAUCAAAUUCUACAGUACAGUUCAGUUCUACUUUGUUUUCAAAGUUGACAUCACAAAUGACUUUGAUGAUCGUAUGUGACCACGUCCGUUGACUCGGGAUGUCGGCCAGAAACUCGAAUUGAGUUUUGAGUUGCUGGCUCUUGAUGAACGUCCACCGUUGCUAUUCCAAGACGGUGUGAGCGGACGCUGGUGUUAUGAGAAGU
This is a small nucleolar RNA of 221 nucleotides. It matches the Rfam family "Small nucleolar RNA U3". Rfam says of the family: Small nucleolar RNAs (snoRNAs) are involved in the processing and modification of rRNA in the nucleolus. The record is from Rfam.